Molecule: ribosomal RNA, 407 nt
Filed under: uncultured bacterium
Lineage: Bacteria
Description: partial 16S ribosomal RNA
Rfam family: Bacterial small subunit ribosomal RNA
Source: RNAcentral
AUUGAACGCUAGCGGGAUGCCUUACACAUGCAAGUCGAACGGAGUGGCGAACGGGUGAGUAAUGUAUAGGAACGUGCCCAGUAGCGGGGGAUAACUACGCGAAAGCGUAGCUAAUACCGCAUACUAUUGGAGCGGCCGAUAUCGGAUUAGCGAGUUGGUGGGGUAACGGCUCACCACGGCGACGAUCCGUAGCUGGGUUGAGAGGACGACCAGCCACACGGGGACUGAUACACGGCCCCUACUCCUACGGGAGGCAGCAGGGGGGAAUUGUGGACAAUGGGGGAAACCCUGAUCCAGCCAUCACGCGUGGGCGAUGAAGGCCUUCGGGUUGUAAAGCACUUUUGGCAGGAAAGCGGUACCUGCAGAAUAAGCACCGGCUAACUACGUGCCAGCAGCCGCGGUAAUUC